CAGUGGCGAACGGGUGCGUAACACGUGGGCAAUCUGCCUUAAAGUGGGGGAUAGCUCGCCGAAAGGCGAAUUAAUACCGCAUGUGGUGAGGGACGACAUCUUCCUGAAUCCAAAGCCGGGGCAACCUGGCGCUUUUUGAGGAGCCCGCGGCCUAUCAGCUAGUUGGUGAGGUAACGGCCCACCAAGGCUUUGACGGGUAGCUGGUCUGAGAGGACGACCAGUCACACUGGAACUGAGACACGGUCCAGACACCUACGGGUGGCAGCAGUCGAGAAUUUUUCUCAAUGGGGGCAACCCUGAAGGAGCGACGCCGCGUGGAGGAUGAAGGCUCUCGGGUUGUAAACUCCUGUCAUUUGGGAACAAGUGGCCGAACUUAACUGCUUCGGCCUUGAUAGUACCAGAAGAGGAAGGGACGGCUAACUCUGUGCCAGCAGCCGCGGUGAUACAGAGGUCCCAAGCGUUGUUCGGAUUCAUUGGGCGUAAAGGGUGCGUAGGUGGCGCCGUAAGUCGGGUGUGAAAUUUCGGAGCUUAACUCCGAAACUGCAUUCGAUACUGCGGUGCUUGAGGACUGGAGAGGAGACUGGAAUUCAUGGUGUAGCAGUGAAAUGCGUAGAGAUCAUGAGGAAGACCAGUGGCGAAGGCGGGUCUCUGGACAGUUCC
RNAcentral lists this ribosomal RNA (660 nucleotides) under uncultured bacterium. Its description in RNAcentral is "bacterial SSU rRNA". It matches the Rfam family "Bacterial small subunit ribosomal RNA", at positions 93 to 740 of the family's 1533-position model. The record is from RNAcentral.